GACGAACGCUGGCGGCGUGCUUAACACAUGCAAGUCGAACGGAAAGGCCCUGCUUUUGUGGGGUGCUCGAGUGGCGAACGGGUGAGUAACACGUGAGUAACCUGCCCUUGACUUUGGGAUAACUUCAGGAAACUGGGGCUAAUACCGGAUAGGAGCUCCUGCUGCAUGGUGGGGGUUGGAAAGUUUCGGCGGUUGGGGAUGGACUCGCGGCUUAUCAGCUUGUUGGUGGGGUAGUGGCCUACCAAGGCUUUGACGGGUAGCCGGCCUGAGAGGGUGACCGGCCACAUUGGGACUGAGAUACGGCCCAGACUCCUACGGGAGGCAACAGUGGGGAAUAUUGCACAAUGGGCGGAAGCCUGAUGCAGCAACGCCGCGUGCGGGAUGACGGCCUUCGGGUUGUAAACCGCUUUCGCCUGUGACGAAGCGUGAGUGACGGUAAUGGGUAAAGAAGCACCGGCUAACUACGU
Molecule: ribosomal RNA, 467 nt
Filed under: uncultured bacterium
Lineage: Bacteria
Description: partial 16S ribosomal RNA
Rfam family: Bacterial small subunit ribosomal RNA
Source: RNAcentral